UACGUGAGUAACCUGCCCUUGACUCUGGGAUAAGCCCGGGAAACUGGGUCUAAUACUGGAUGCUACAUGUCACCGCAUGGUGGUGUGUGGAAAGGGUUUACUGGUCUUGGAUGGGCUCACGGCCUAUCAGCUUGUUGGUGAGGUAAUGGCUCACCAAGGCGACGACGGGUAGCCGGCCUGAGAGGGUGACCGGCCACACUGGGACUGAGACACGGCCCAG
RNAcentral lists this ribosomal RNA (220 nucleotides) under uncultured bacterium. RNAcentral's name for it is "partial 16S ribosomal RNA". It matches the Rfam family "Bacterial small subunit ribosomal RNA", at positions 114 to 334 of the family's 1533-position model. The record is from RNAcentral.